RNAcentral lists this ribosomal RNA (253 nucleotides) under uncultured bacterium. Its description in RNAcentral is "partial 16S ribosomal RNA". It matches the Rfam family "Bacterial small subunit ribosomal RNA", at positions 524 to 776 of the family's 1533-position model. The record is from RNAcentral.
GACGUAGGGCGCGAGCGUUGUCCGGAUUUAUUGGGCGUAAAGAGCUCGUAGGCGGCUUGUCGCGUCGUCCGUGAAAACCUGGGGCUCAACCCCAGGCUUGCGGUCGAUACGGGCAGGCUAGAGUUCGGUAGGGGAGACUGGAAUUCCUGGUGUAGCGGUGGAAUGCGCAGAUAUCAGGAGGAACACCGAUGGCGAAGGCAGGUCUCUGGGCCAUUACUGACACUGAGAAGCGAAAGCAUGGGGAGCGAACAGG